AAUUAAAAUUUAUAUCCAUUUCUACUGUUAAAAACUAGUGUAGCUAACAAAGUAGCCAGACAGUUAUACAUGGCGUGUCACGUGUACCUUAUGCCGAUGUACAAGGAUCAAUUUUUAACAAUAAAAAUUAAUGAAAUUUUUAACA
This is a non-coding RNA of Gossypium hirsutum (cotton), 145 nucleotides long. Lineage: Eukaryota; Viridiplantae; Streptophyta; Magnoliopsida; Malvales; Malvaceae. The record is from Rfam.